RNAcentral lists this ribosomal RNA (253 nucleotides) under uncultured bacterium. Its description in RNAcentral is "partial 16S ribosomal RNA". It matches the Rfam family "Bacterial small subunit ribosomal RNA", at positions 524 to 776 of the family's 1533-position model. The record is from RNAcentral.
UACAGAGGUCCCGAGCGUUGUUCGGAUUCACUGGGCGUAAAGGGUGCGUAGGUGGUGAGGUAAGUCGGAUGUGAAAUCUCCGGGCUCAACCCGGAAACUGCAUUGGAAACUACCUUGCUUGAGGGUUUGAGGGGGGACUGGAAUUCCCAGUGUAGCGGUGAAAUGCGUAGAUAUUGGGAGGAACACCAGUGGCGAAGGCGGCUCACUGGACUGGUACUGACGCUGAGGCGCGAAAGCGUGGGGAGCAAACAGG